AUGAACGCUGGCGGCGUGCUUAACACAUGCAAGUCGAACGGUGAAGGCGGAGCUUGCUCUGCUGGAUCAGUGGCGAACGGGUGAGUAACACGUGAGCAAUCUGCCCCUGACUCUGGGAUAAGCGCUGGAAACGGCGUCUAAUACUGGAUACGAGCUGCGAAGGCAUCUUCAGCAGCUGGAAAGAACUUCGGUCAGGGAUGAGCUCGCGGCCUAUCAGCUUGUUGGUGAGGUAACGGCUCACCAAGGCGUCGACGGGUAGCCGGCCUGAGAGGGUGACCGGCCACACUGGGACUGAGACACGGCCCAGUCUCCUACGGGAGGCAGCAGUGGGGAAUAUUGCACAAUGGGCGAAAGCCUGAUGCAGCAACGCCGCGUGAGGGACGACGGCCUUCGGGUUGUAAACCUCUUUUAGCAGGGAAGAAGCGAAAGUGACGGUACCUGCAGAAAAAGCGCCGGCUAACUACGUG
Molecule: ribosomal RNA, 467 nt
Filed under: uncultured bacterium
Lineage: Bacteria
Description: partial 16S ribosomal RNA
Rfam family: Bacterial small subunit ribosomal RNA
Source: RNAcentral